GGGUACUGGGACUGAGACACGGUCCAGACUCCUACGGGAGGCAGCAGUGGGGAAUAUUGCACAAUGGGGGAAACCCUGAUGCAGCCAUGCCGCGUGUGUGAAGAAGGCCUUCGGGUUGUAAAGCACUUUCAGCGAGGAGGAAAGGUUGGUACCUAAUAACUGCCAACUGUGACGUUACUCGCAGAAGAAGCACCGGCUAACUCCGUGCCAGCAGCCGCGGUAAUACGGAGGGUGCAAGCGUUAAUCGGAAUUACUGGGCGUAAAGCGCACGCAGGCGGUUGGAUAAGUUAGAUGUGAAAGCCCCGGGCUCAACCUGGGAAUUGCAUUUAAAACUGUCCAACUAGAGUCUUGUAGAGGGGGGUAGAAUUCCAGGUGUAGCGGUGAAAUGCGUAGAGAUCUGGAGGAAUACCGGUGGCGAAGGCAACC
This 426-nucleotide ribosomal RNA is filed under the name Aeromonas salmonicida subsp. salmonicida. RNAcentral's name for it is "bacterial SSU rRNA". It matches the Rfam family "Bacterial small subunit ribosomal RNA", at positions 308 to 726 of the family's 1533-position model. The record is from RNAcentral. Lineage: Bacteria; Pseudomonadati; Pseudomonadota; Gammaproteobacteria; Aeromonadales; Aeromonadaceae.